CCGAGCGGGUGUGACCUGCAGCCCGCGUCCCCAGCACCAGCGACCGUCCAGGACACCCAGAGAACCCUGAGCCCGACGAACGUCAAGUAAACACGGCUCGUGUUCCGGAGAAGCCCAGAGCUCAAAACGAAAUAGCAGCACUGCCACCGUUUCUAAGUAAGGGUCUGUAACGAGCACAGUUUUAACCACGAGGCCAAAUCAUAAACCCGUGCACAGCGCGGGGCCCCUGGAGUCGCCCUUGGUCGGCUGCCCGCCAAGCGUUGUCUUCGACAGCGACCGUCGGGACUGACCCUGGGGCUGCACGGUCCUCGCAGACUGCUCUCACGGAGCUUAGACGUGCUUAUUCGUGGGAAGGGAGGACGUGUCCCGGAGGUCGCGCACGUGCCGCGGUGCCGGCUCCACUGCCCGCGCCCCUUUGCGGAGCAAGUGCUGCUGUCAUCUCAGGCCGAGGAACAAGUGAAGAAGCUGAAGCUCAGACACGUGAAACAGUUUCCAGGUUACGAGGCGAGCGAAUGCCCUGUCGGGGCUGGAGGAUUCCUCUACCUUGUGUCGGGCUCCGUUUCUCUGCCAUCGUCGAGCUGCGACACCUCGCAAGGGUCAAGGGAGACCACGUCUGUGAGAUCCCUCGGGAAGCUGUCCUGCGCCGUGCAGAUGUAAGGGUUCAAGGUUAACACGUCUUGUGACCCCAAAUUGUCCAGGAGACACAAGGAAUGACGUCUCUGGAGGGUCCGGGUGCGGGAACCCUCUGGAGGGGUGUUGGGGGUCUCUCCUUGGUACGACUGCAUGAUGAGAAGGCCUGUCCGCCAGAAAAGACGCAGGGGCUAGGGCCCAAAGCCCAACUGAACGAGCAAAGGGGAACUCGUCUCUUGCCCUCACGCCUCCUCCCGGAGCAAAUUCCUUGGCACGACAUCUCAUAUUUUCUAGGGCAAGUAGAGUAUGUGGCCUGAAAACCGGCCUCUUGAGACCAGUUCCUUCAACUCCUUAUACCUGAUUUUUUUUUUUUUUUUUUUUGGAUCAAACGUCUCCUGUUUCAGGCUAAUGUUUUAAAAAUGGAAAUGAAUCAGAAUAGAGAGGUGCCUCUGGGAUCCCAAACUGGUUUUCGCCCUCUUUUCACAGAACAAAGGAAAGCCAGCGUUCUUUCAACACUGGGCAUGUCUGAAAUGCGCCUCAUCCACGUAGCCGUAAAGGGGCUCUGAACCAGCUUGUCCACGUUUACCAAACCCGGGAGGAGACACCAACCUCUCACGCGAGCCUCAGGAAAGGCAGAAUUCGAGCUGCGAUGUUCCCUCAUCAGCUUUACUCCUGUCAGGGUUCUGGCCCUUGAGGCUCUAUCAAAUGACAAGAGCUGGCUUCCAACACACAAAUGACAGGCAUUGACGCUGCAGAAAUGCUGCACGUACUUAACUUCUGCAGCCCACGCUUUUGGAAAUUGGCAGCAGCGAGGAACUUGAACUCUUUUCUGGAAUGAUGCAGUAGACUGGGGGAAGCUUCAUCCUAUAGUCGUGGGAGGGAGAGGCUGAAAAAGUGUGAAAAUGGCAUAAAUCCAACAAAAGGGUGAGUCUGUACUCCAAGGGGGCAGACGGGGAUUAGGAGGUACGGAGCAUAGAAGCACGUACUUUCAUCCGUGCGUGUACCAUACACAUAUUUAGGGGGAGACAGCAGUGGAGCAGGUCUGUCCUGAUCCCUGGUGGCUCCAAUUAGCAAAUUGAAACGAGCCUUUUGCGGUGUUCAUGCAGAGUCUAGAGAACUACGUUCUGGGAAUGAUGUAGGGAUUCCGAUAUCCAUCCGUUGGGGAUUUGGACUGGAUAAUGCUGCUGCCCUAGAGGCCUUAUGAAUUCCACCCAGGCUUCCUUCCGCUGCAGGCCUCCACAAGAUCUGCAUUUUAGACGAAGUACAUCACUGACAUCCGCACUCUCACCCCUGUGCUUCCCCCAAACCGCAGUAAAUUCUAAAUUAACGCAGUUAAUAAAUUCGAGUUAACAUGAAAA
Canis lupus familiaris (dog) is the source of this 1988-nucleotide long non-coding RNA. RefSeq lists it as uncharacterized. Lineage: Eukaryota; Metazoa; Chordata; Mammalia; Carnivora; Canidae. The record is from RefSeq and is a predicted model, not a curated record. The transcript is spliced from 2 exons.